Small nuclear RNA from Ochotona princeps (American pika), 191 nucleotides. RefSeq annotates it as U2 spliceosomal RNA. The transcript has a single exon. The record is from RefSeq and is a predicted model, not a curated record. NCBI's taxonomy places the organism in Eukaryota, Metazoa, Chordata, Mammalia, Lagomorpha, Ochotonidae.
AUUGCUUCUUGGCCUUUUGGCUAAGAUCAAGUGAAAUAUCAAAAUAAAAUGAAAAUAAAAUUUAUUUUAUGUUUUUUAAAGAUUUAUUUGUUUUAUUACAAAGUCAGAUAUACACAGAGGAGGAGAGACAGAGAGGAAGAUCUUCCGUCCGAUGACUCACUCCCCAAGUGAGCCGCAACGGCCGGUGCUGU